UACGGGGGGGGCAAGCGUUGUUCGGAAUUACUGGGCGUAAAGGGCUCGUAGGUGGCCAACUAAGUCAGACGUGAAAUCCCUCGGCUUAACCGGGGAACUGCGUCUGAUACUGGAUGGCUUGAGUGUGGGAGAGGGAUGCGGAAUUCCAGGUGUAGCGGUGAAAUGCGUAGAUAUCUGGAGGAAUACCGGUGGCGAAGGCGGCAUCCUGGACCGGCAUUGACGCUGAGGGAGCGAAAGCCAGGGGAGCAAACGGG
RNAcentral lists this ribosomal RNA (254 nucleotides) under uncultured bacterium. RNAcentral describes it as "partial 16S ribosomal RNA". It matches the Rfam family "Bacterial small subunit ribosomal RNA", at positions 524 to 776 of the family's 1533-position model. The record is from RNAcentral.